This 253-nucleotide ribosomal RNA is filed under the name uncultured bacterium. Its description in RNAcentral is "partial 16S ribosomal RNA". It matches the Rfam family "Bacterial small subunit ribosomal RNA", at positions 524 to 776 of the family's 1533-position model. The record is from RNAcentral.
UACAGAGGGUGCAAGUGUUAUCCGGAAUCACUGGGCGUAAAGCGUCUGUAGGUGGUUCGAAAAGUCCACUGUUAAAAAUUGAGGCUUAACUUCAAAGAUGCCGUGGAAACUUUCAAACUAGAGUAUGGUAGGGGUAGAGGGAAUUUCCAGUGGAGCGGUGAAAUGCGUAGAUAUUGGAAAGACCACCGAUGGCGAAGGCACUCUACUGGGCCAUUACUGACACUGAGAGACGAAAGCUAGGGGAGCAAAUGGG